RNAcentral lists this ribosomal RNA (429 nucleotides) under uncultured Bacillota bacterium. Its description in RNAcentral is "bacterial SSU rRNA". It matches the Rfam family "Bacterial small subunit ribosomal RNA", at positions 355 to 776 of the family's 1533-position model. The record is from RNAcentral. Lineage: Bacteria; Bacillati; Bacillota.
UAGGGAAUCUUCCACAAUGGACGAAAGUCUGAUGGAGCAAUGCCGCGUGAGUGAAGAAGGGUUUCGGCUCGUAAAACUCUGUUGUUGAAGAAGAACGGGUGUCAGAGUAACUGUUGACAUCGUGACGGUAUUCAACCAGAAAGCCACGGCUAACUACGUGCCAGCAGCCGCGGUAAUACGUAGGUGGCAAGCGUUGUCCGGAUUUAUUGGGCGUAAAGCGAGCGCAGGCGGUUAUUUAAGUCUGAUGUGAAAGCCUUCGGCUUAACCGAAGAAGUGCAUCGGAAACUGGGUAACUUGAGUGCAGAAGAGGACAGUGGAACUCCAUGUGUAGCGGUGGAAUGCGUAGAUAUAUGGAAGAACACCAGUGGCGAAGGCGGCUGUCUAGUCUGUAACUGACGCUGAGGCUCGAAAGCAUGGGUAGCGAACAGG